This 1145-nucleotide unclassified non-coding RNA is filed under the name Hevea brasiliensis (rubber tree). The record is from RNAcentral. Lineage: Eukaryota; Viridiplantae; Streptophyta; Magnoliopsida; Malpighiales; Euphorbiaceae.
CCAACAUCAAAGCCAUUAAGGCCAUCAGUUACAUUGUUACUUGCAUGACUGUGGACGACAUCCAUCAGAACACAUAAACCCAAGCUAUGGGCUUUAUCAAUUAAAUAUUUAAGAUCCUCAGGAGUUCCAGAUCUACUGCUUACAGCAAAAAAGUUGGUAACAUGGUACCCAAACGAUCCAUAAUAUGAAUGCUCCAUAACAGCCAUUAACUGAACAGUGUUAUAGUUAUUUGCUCGUAUGCGAGGCAGCACAUCAUUAGCAAAUUCUCUGUACGUAUUAAUGCAGGGUUCUGAGCUACUCAUUCCUACAUGAGCCUCGUAUAUACGUGGGGCCUUGGGUUUUGGAGGCUGAGGAUACUUAAAUUGGUACCUUUCUGAAGGUGGAGGAUCCCAGUAAACACCGUCAUAUGGUGCUCCAAAACUUGAGGGGUCCACUAUGGCAUAUCUAAUCCAAGCUGGAAUUCGAUCAACCCAAACUCCAUUACCAUGCCUGAAUCGGAAUUUGACUCUUGAAUUGUGAGGAAUGGCUGGAUUUCCACCAGAAUCAGGUAUUUUGAUACUCCAAACACCAAAUUCAUUCUUUUCCAUCCUGUGGUUGGAACCAUCCCAUCCAUUGAAGUCCCCAAUAACUUGCGCUUGCUGAGCUGCAGGUGCCCACUCACGAUAGACAAUUCCACCUUCUUCUCUAUUAAAUCCGAAUUUCAGGUAACCUUUUGAAAAUUCCUGAAGACCUCCUUCAUANNNNUUAGCUGUUUCUGAUUUAUAUAUCUUUUCACUCUAUAUAUGAAGUGAUCUUUAAAUGGUUCCAGCCCAGGAUCAAUGCUCAAAAGCCCAAUAUUUUCCAUAUCUUCAUCAAAGCCUGUCAUUGUUGUGUUUUCAUCUGUCACAACUGCUGAGAUUGCAAGACCAUGCCUAGGUUUUGAGAUUCUUGGCCGGAAAUGGAAUUUAGGACAACCAAGCAAUUUUCGAGAUCCAAAAGUCAGUCCAAUCUGCUUUUGUUUGGCAAUGAGAUUGUUUCUUUCCACAUCCCUUUUGGAGUUCUUGGCUAUAGAAGGAGAUAAAAACCCAAAAGCAGGCGCCGGAAAUAGUCCCCAGGAACCUAACAUCUUGGCUCGCUGAGCCUCUGAAGGCCUACUUUCUCUCCCC